This 349-nucleotide unclassified non-coding RNA is filed under the name Melitaea cinxia (Glanville fritillary). RNAcentral's name for it is "misc RNA ENSMCXG00005003806.1". The record is from RNAcentral. Lineage: Eukaryota; Metazoa; Arthropoda; Insecta; Lepidoptera; Nymphalidae.
GGUUGUAUUAUAUUAUAUUAUACCGGGUGAUUUUGAAAGCGUUUUGGAAACGAAAAUUUUGAAUUAUUUAUCAAUAACAGAACCUAUAUAUAACGUUAAUUUAAUAAUAUAUGUAUUUUUUUUUCAUCAAAGUCGAUAUUCAUAUCGUUUACAGAUAAAAAGUGAGAACCAGUAGUAGCGCUACACGGUAGGUACAUUCUAAAAAUAGAAAUACUAUACGUUUUAAUAGCGAGUCACAAAAUCGUAUUAGCCAAUAAAAACAAAGCUACCGAGUUGCGCCGGAGUCGACCAAUGACGGCGUUGCUCACUUGUCAGUAAUACCAUAGCGGUACAUGCGUAAACAAGGUCA